RNAcentral lists this non-coding RNA (53 nucleotides) under Bradyrhizobium japonicum. RNAcentral describes it as "Guanidine-II sequence". It matches the Rfam family "Guanidine-II riboswitch aptamer (mini-ykkC)". Rfam says of the family: Simpler in structure and has fewer highly conserved nucleotide positions than the ykkC-yxkD leader. Despite this each of its two stem-loop structures directly bind free guanidine. Therefore, mini-ykkC RNA motif represents a distinct class of guanidine-sensing RNAs. RNAcentral also lists the same sequence under 1 other name. The record is from RNAcentral. Lineage: Bacteria; Pseudomonadati; Pseudomonadota; Alphaproteobacteria; Hyphomicrobiales; Nitrobacteraceae.
UGGGAGGGACGGCCCUCCUAUCCACCAGCAUAUCAGCCGCGGGGACGACCCUG